This is a long non-coding RNA of Solanum pennellii, 3200 nucleotides long. RefSeq lists it as uncharacterized. NCBI's taxonomy places the organism in Eukaryota, Viridiplantae, Streptophyta, Magnoliopsida, Solanales, Solanaceae. The transcript has 3 exons. The record is from RefSeq and is a predicted model, not a curated record.
AAUUGUGACCGUUGAGCAAUGUCUCUAUAUCUCUCAAUACAUCACCAAGAAAGGAUAAAGAUUGUGUGAGUUUUCUGUAUUGAUAUUCCUUGAUGGUUGAGAAUGGGGUUUUCCAUUUCAAGCUUGCUUCACUAUGAUUUCUGCUUUUCCUUGUAAAAUGGAACGGGGGUUUUACGAUUAACAACUUAAGAUGUUUCCAUCUGAUUUCUGGUUUUACAAGUAAGAUUUCUUGAUGGAAAAUGGGAGGGGUGGAGGUGGGGGUCUCCAAUUUCAAGCUUUCUUCACCGAGAUUUUUGGGUUUACUAUGAACCUUUCGUUUUAAUUGUACGAUUUCUUGAAAGUUUGAAACGGCAGGGGUAGGGAUGGGGGUUUACGAUUUCAUGAAUUUAUGAAUAAACUUUUGAUUCAAUCUACUGAUGUUUACUUCUUGCUUCGUGAGUUCUACCUUUUUAUUGAUGUUUACUUCUCGCUUCGUAAGCUCUACAAUUUUAUGGAUGUUUACUUCUUGUUUUGUGAGUUCUACAUUUUUUGUUGUAACGGUAAUAUUUAUUGAUGGUUGAAAAUGGAAGGGGAGGGGGUGGGGAAUAAACUCGUGAACAAGAUUGGAAAUAAUAGUGCAUUGAAUCAAUUCUGUAAGUUUUCUAUCCCAUUCACCAUAAAGUCGAUUUUAACCAUACAAAAAUUCUUGUCAUGUGUUGUUGUCCUCUCUUUUCUGUAUCAACUAGAAGUAACAAUUCCAAUGUAAGCAAUACUUCUCUUGCGAACAAAUCUUGUUCUAAAAAUGAAUUUAGUCUAAUUUUUGUUUGUACAAAUAGACUUGAUCGUGUUUUUGGUAGUAUUGAGUGUCCAAUUAUAAAAAUGUGUUGGUUAAUGAUAAUGUUUCUGGAACCUAUGUAUGUUCUUCUGUUUGCAGUAAUAAAAAUGUGUUGUUUGGUUUCUAUUCCUUGUACAUCUCCUAGAGACAGUGUUGCCGAAGUCUAUUAUCUAUAUUUCAACCAUACAAAAAUUCUAAUUUCUUGACUGAAAUUUUCUUCUUGCUUCAUUUCUGUUCUUUCUAUUAUUUUGUACUUCACACAGAUUUUUGGGUUAACUAUGAACCUUUGGUUUUAAUUGUAAGAUUUCUAGAUCGUUGAAAAUGGAAGCGGUGGGGGAUGGGGGUUUCCGAUUUCAAGAAUUAACGAUGAAAAUCUCAUUUUUUUUGUUGUUGUCAUAGUCUGUGUUUGUCGUUUCUUGUUGCUCUGUUUCUAUUCUGGUUUUCAUUACAUCACCUCUAGAUUUAAUAUUUGAACACAACAAUUAUUUGGUGAGAGGAAUGACUACAUCAUUAGCUUACCUGAUUCAAGAUCAGUAUAUAAAUAUACACUAUAAUGAUACAAAUUUCAUCUAACUACUGGAAUGUAUAUUGGUGUGAUAUGCUAUUUCUUAAUGGGGCUUCUCCGGUGGGAAAGAAUGGUGCCUCGAAGAGAAAUGGAGGAGGGAUUGGUUGAAGAAAAGCACUUAGUGAUAUCUCAAAGCCUUCUGCUCUACAAUCAUCAAAGAAAACAUUUUGCUGAAUCCUUGAAGAGAAUAACCAUAUCUCAUUGCCAGAAAUUGAAAUUGGAGCAGCCAGUUUGUGAGAUGAGUAUUUUGAGUUGCCACAACCUUACUAGUAGGUUUUUGAUUCCAGCUGCCACUGAAAGACUUGAUAUUUCAAAUUGUGAGAAUGUUGAAAUUCUUUAAGUGACAUGUGGGGGGAUCCAGAUGAUGUCACUGAUUAUUGAGGAUUGUUGGAAGUUGAAGUGGCUGCUAGAACAUAUGCACGAAUUUCUUCCAUCUCGUAAUACAUGGACAUAUCAGCUAAAAAGCCCAACGAAGCAUUAUGUCCAAGUGGAAGAGCUUCCAGAACUGAUUUUUUUUAUCAGGUCCAUUCUAUAUCUUUUUCUCAUUGUGUUGCAUCUCCUAAAUCAAUAAAGCCACGAUAUAUCAGCUGGACGGAUGAUGGUGUUCUAGAUUUGGCAUUUCUUUUGAACACCUAUCCAUUCAAAGAAUUAAUGGACACUACUUUCAACUCAAGGAUCAUUCGCAGCCCUUUGAAAUAUAUCCGUUGUAGUCAUUGAGCACCUUUAAAUUUAAUGUUUGAACCGCAACAAUGGUUUGUUGGGAGGAAUGGCUAUAUCAUCAGCUUACCUGAUUCAAGCUCUGGAUAUAAGUAUAUAUUUCUCACAAUUGGAUAAUACAUUGUUGUGAUCUUGUAUACUAUUUACAUUCCUAGCACCAUUUUCUCAUGUACACAUUCACUCCUUUUGUAUUGAAUUUUGUUAAUAAAAGUGUUGGUGGAGAAGACAUAAUAUUUAGCAUAAUGGUCAGCCUUUUCCAGUUGAUACAGAAGAGAAGAAGCGGUUCAAGUUCCGGAAGUUUGUAGAUACCUUCUGCAGGAACCCUAAGGACAAUUUGGCUUACGUGUGGCUCACUUUUAUGGACUUAAGGAGCACGUGCUAGCCAAUUGCCUCAUUGAUGAACUUUCCAUGUCUGGCGACUCAGAUGAUGCCCACCAUCUCCUCAACUGGCUGAAAUGCAGCCCUAAAACUGCCUCAAAUUCCAGUAACUUCUCUUUUGUUGCCACAAAGACAGAAAGCCCAACGAAGCAUUAUGUUAAAGUGGGAAGAUCUGCCGGAACUGAUCUUUUAUGAUCAGGUCCACCAACGGACCAUUGGUGAGGUCUUUUUGAUGUACACAGCCUGGGCAAGGCUCAACCCAAGAACAGGCCAAGGUAAAAUCGAUUGAAUCCACAGACGACCCGUUGAUGGACUUACUAGCCGUCGAUGGUGGUCCGUUGAUGCAGCCUGGUGCCACUUCCUUCGCACUGUUUCAUUAAAGGGGUGAAUGGAAAAUUAACCCCACGUCCUAAACUGACCCUACUUCAUUUAUUUAGCAAUUUUUGGGUGUAUAUAUGUGGUCAAAAACGUGAUCAACCCAUUCCCAAUCCCAUACACACCUAAUAAACUUUCCCACCAAAACCAAAUUAUCCCUAGAAACCUCCAUUGUUGGUAAAACUCAAAAACAACUUGGAGCAUGGAUUUUCAUGGAUUAUUCAUCAAGUAUUAAAGGUUUUCAUGUAUAUAAGGUAUGGUAAUCCUUCAUCUCUAAGUAACCCUUCACUUGGAGACUUAAUCUCAAUGUUUUUUUAAAGAAGAUUCAUGAUCAAAUCUCUUCUUCUUCGA